This 274-nucleotide ribosomal RNA is filed under the name uncultured Lachnospiraceae bacterium. RNAcentral's name for it is "partial 16S ribosomal RNA". It matches the Rfam family "Bacterial small subunit ribosomal RNA", at positions 52 to 339 of the family's 1533-position model. Lineage: Bacteria; Bacillati; Bacillota; Clostridia; Lachnospirales; Lachnospiraceae. The record is from RNAcentral.
UUACAUUGAAGCCAAGCGAUAUGUAAGUUAGUGGCGGACGGGUGAGUAACGCGUGGGUAACCUGCCUUGUACUGGGGGACAACAGUUGGAGACGACUGCUAAUACCGCAUAAGCGCACAGCUUCGCAUGAAGCAGUGUGAAAAACUCCGGUGGUAUGAGAUGGACCCGCGUCUGAUUAGGUAGUUGGUGGGGUAACGGCCUACCAAGCCAACGAUCAGUAGCCGACCUGAGAGGGUGACCGGCCACAUUGGGACUGAGACACGGCCCAAACUCC